Molecule: ribosomal RNA, 443 nt
Filed under: uncultured bacterium
Lineage: Bacteria
Description: partial 16S ribosomal RNA
Rfam family: Bacterial small subunit ribosomal RNA
Source: RNAcentral
CCUACGGGUGGCAGCAGUGGGGAAUAUUGGGCAAUGGGCGCAAGCCUGACCCAGCAACGCCGCGUGAAGGAAGAAGGCUCUCGGGUUGUAAACUUCUUUUAUCAGGGACGAAGCCAGUGACGGUACCUGACGAAUAAGCCACGGCUAACUACGUGCCAGCAGCCGCGGUAAUACGUAGGUGGCAAGCGUUAUCCGGAUUUACUGGGUGUAAAGGGCGUGUAGGCGGGAAAGCAAGUCAGAUGUGAAAACCAUGGGCUCAACCUGUGGCCUGCAUUUGAAACUGUUGUUCUUGAGUACUGGAGAGGCAGACGGAAUUCCUAGUGUAGCGGUGAAAUGCGUAGAUAUUAGGAGGAACACCAGUGGCGAAGGCGGUCUGCUGGACAGCAACUGACGCUGAGGCGCGAAAGCGUGGGGAGCAAACAGGAUUAGAUACCCCAGUAGUC